GCAAUUCUCAUCAUGUUCACUUUAGUGCAGGUUGGAGGAAGCUACUGGUCUGGCAUUCAGAUUUGUGAUCGGCAAAAGCAAUGACAAGUCUAAGAUGGCAGCUCUUGAAAGAGAGGUUGAAGAAUAUGAUGAUUUUGUGCUUUUAGAUCUUGAGGAGGAGUAUAGCAGGCUUCCAUACAAAACGUUAGCAUUCUUUAAGGCUGCCUAUGCGUUGUUCGAUUCUGAUUUCUAUGUUAAAGCUGAUGAUGACAUUUACUUGAGACCAGUUUAGGGGUACAUAAAACAUACGGUGUACAAGUUGAGGGAACAAGAGCGCAAUUCAUACCAUAUGUUUUUUUGUAUUUGCGAACGCUCACCUGGGCAAUUAUACUGUGUAGCACU
This is a long non-coding RNA of Aegilops tauschii subsp. strangulata, 381 nucleotides long. RefSeq lists it as uncharacterized. The record is from RefSeq and is a predicted model, not a curated record. NCBI's taxonomy places the organism in Eukaryota, Viridiplantae, Streptophyta, Magnoliopsida, Poales, Poaceae.